UGGGGAAUCUUGCGCAAUGGGGGCAACCCUGACGCAGCAACGCCGCGUGCGGGACGACGGCCUUCGGGUUGUAAACCGCUUUCAGCAGGGAAGAAAUUCGACGGUACCUGCAGAAGAAGCUCCGGCUAACUACGUGCCAGCAGCCGCGGUAAUACGUAGGGAGCGAGCGUUUUCCGGAUUCAUUGGGCGUAAAGAGCGCGUAGGCGGCCUCUCAAGCGGGAUCUCUAAUCCGAGGGCUCAACCCCCGGCCGGAUCCCGAACUGGGAGGCUCGAGUUCGGGAGAGGCAGGCGGAAUUCCCGGUGUAGCGGUGGAAUGCGCAGAUAUCGGGAAGAACACCGAUGGCGAAGGCGGCCUGCUGGGCCGCAACUGACGCUGAGGCGCGAAAGCUAGGGGAGCGAACAGG
This 404-nucleotide ribosomal RNA is filed under the name bacterium. Its description in RNAcentral is "partial 16S ribosomal RNA". It matches the Rfam family "Bacterial small subunit ribosomal RNA", at positions 355 to 776 of the family's 1533-position model. The record is from RNAcentral.